CCUACGGGAGGCAGCAGUGAGGAAUAUUGGUCAAUGGACGAGAGUCUGAACCAGCCAAGUAGCGUGAAGGAUGACUGCCCUAUGGGUUGUAAACUUCUUUUAUAUGGGAAUAAAACGUUCCACGUGUGGGAUUUUGUAUGUACCAUAUGAAUAAGGAUCGGCUAACUCCGUGCCAGCAGCCGCGGUAAUACGGAGGAUCCGAGCGUUAUCCGGAUUUAUUGGGUGUAAAGGGAGCGUAGGUGGAUUGUUAAGUCAGUUGUGAAAGUUUGCGGCUCAACCGUAAAAUUGCAGUUGAAACUGGCAGUCUUGAGUACAGUAGAGGUGAGUGGAAUUCGUGGUGUAGCGGUGAAAUGCUUAGAUAUCACGAAGAACUCCGAUUGCGAAGGCAGUUCACUGGACUGCCACUGACACUGAGGCUCGAAAGUGUGGGUAUCAAACAGGAUUAGAUACCCGAGUAGUC
RNAcentral lists this ribosomal RNA (460 nucleotides) under uncultured bacterium. Its description in RNAcentral is "partial 16S ribosomal RNA". It matches the Rfam family "Bacterial small subunit ribosomal RNA", at positions 338 to 795 of the family's 1533-position model. The record is from RNAcentral.